CACCGGGGAAGAUAAUGACGGUACCCGGAGAAGAAGCCCCGGCUAACUUCGUGCCAGCAGCCGCGGUAAUACGAAGGGGGCUAGCGUUGCUCGGAAUUACUGGGCGUAAAGGGCGCGUAGGCGGUCAGCGCAAGUCAGUUGUGAAAUCUCCGGGCUUAACCCGGAUCGGUCAACUGAUACUGCGCGACUAGAGUGCAGAAGGGGCAACUGGAAUUCUCGGUGUAGCGGUGAAAUGCGUAGAUAUCGAGAGGAACACCUGCGGCGAAGGCGGGUUGCUGGGCUGACACUGACGCUGAGGCGCGAAAGCUAGGGGAGCGAACGGGAUUAGAUACCCCGGUAGUCCUAGCCUUAAACGAUGAAUGCUUGGUGUCUCGGGUUCUGAAGUCCCGGGGUGCCGUCGCUAACGCUGUAAGCAUUCCGCCUGGGGAGUACGGUCGCAAGACUGAAACUCAAAGGAAUUGACGGGGACCCGCACAAGCGGUGGAGCAUGUGGUUUAAUUCGACGCAACGCGAAGAACCUUACCUGGGCUAGAAUGCCUCUGACCGGCGUGGAGACACGCCUUCCUGGGUAACACCAGGCAGAGUGCAAGGUGCUGCAUGGCUGUCGUCAGCUCGUGUCG
Molecule: ribosomal RNA, 620 nt
Filed under: uncultured bacterium
Lineage: Bacteria
Description: bacterial SSU rRNA
Rfam family: Bacterial small subunit ribosomal RNA
Source: RNAcentral